This 540-nucleotide ribosomal RNA is filed under the name uncultured Geobacteraceae bacterium. Its description in RNAcentral is "bacterial SSU rRNA". It matches the Rfam family "Bacterial small subunit ribosomal RNA", at positions 9 to 526 of the family's 1533-position model. The record is from RNAcentral. Lineage: Bacteria; Pseudomonadati; Thermodesulfobacteriota; Desulfuromonadia; Geobacterales; Geobacteraceae.
GAGUUUGAUCCUGGCUCAGAACGAACGCUGGCGGCGUGCCUAACACAUGCAAGUCGAACGUGAUCCAGAGCUUGCUCUGGUGAAAGUGGCGCACGGGUGAGUAACGCGUGGAUAACCUACCCUGGUAUCCGGGAUAACAUUCCGAAAGGGGUGCUAAUACCGGAUAAGCCCACGGGCUCUUUGGAGCUUGCGGGAAAAGGUGGCCUCUAUUUAUAAGCUACUGUAUCAGGAUGGGUCCGCGUACCAUUAGCUAGUUGGCGGUGUAACGGACCACCAAGGCGACGAUGGUUAGCUGGUCUGAGAGGAUGAUCAGCCACACUGGAACUGAGACACGGUCCAGACUCCUACGGGAGGCAGCAGUGGGGAAUUUUGCGCAAUGGGGGAAACCCUGACGCAGCAACGCCGCGUGAGUGAUGAAGGCCUUUGGGUCGUAAAGCUCUGUCAGAGGGGAAGAAAUGAUAUAGUGCUAAUACCACUUUAUCUAGACGGUACCCUCAAAGGAAGCACCGGCUAACUCCGUGCCAGCAGCCGCGGUAAUAC